RNAcentral lists this ribosomal RNA (475 nucleotides) under uncultured bacterium. RNAcentral's name for it is "bacterial SSU rRNA". It matches the Rfam family "Bacterial small subunit ribosomal RNA", at positions 355 to 840 of the family's 1533-position model. The record is from RNAcentral.
UGGGGAAUAUUGCGCAAUGGGCGAAAGCCUGACGCAGCAACACCGCGUGAGGGAUGACGGCCUUCGGGUUGUAAACCUCUUUCAGCUCCGACGAAGCGAAAGUGACGGUAGGAGCAGAAGAAGCACCGGCUAACUACGUGCCAGCAGCCGCGGUAAUACGUAGGGUGCAAGCGUUGUCCGGAAUUAUUGGGCGUAAAGAGCUCGUAGGCGGUCCGUUGCGUCUGCCGUGAAAACCCGGAGCUCAACUCCGGGCCUGCGGUGGAUACGGGCGGACUAGAGUCCGGUAGGGGAGACUGGAAUUCCUGGUGUAGCGGUGGAAUGCGCAGAUAUCAGGAGGAACACCGGUGGCGAAGGCGGGUCUCUGGGCCGGAACUGACGCUGAGGAGCGAAAGCGUGGGGAGCGAACAGGAUUAGAUACCCUGGGUAGUCCACGCUGUAAAACGAUGGGCACUCGGUGCCGCGGGUAUCGACCCCU